CCAUGCCGCGUGUGUGAAGAAGGCUUUCGGGUUGUAAAGCACUUUCAGUGAGGAGGAAAAGUUAGUCGUUAAUACCGGCUAGCCUUGACGUUACUCACAGAAGAAGCACCGGCUAACUCCGUGCCAGCCCCGGCGGUGACUGAGCGGGCUGGCAAGGCGCAUA
RNAcentral lists this ribosomal RNA (163 nucleotides) under uncultured bacterium. RNAcentral's name for it is "partial 16S ribosomal RNA". It matches the Rfam family "Bacterial small subunit ribosomal RNA", at positions 392 to 539 of the family's 1533-position model. The record is from RNAcentral.